CCUGUACUCCUGGGGAUGAAGACCCUGUCUAAGGGCUACACAAAGCCAUAGACAGAAAUAACCCAUCUCAUUUGAAUGUCCAUCUUAUCAACGGUUAACGAUUGAAAAUAUAUUAGCCUCAAAAUAUGCCCUGGAGCAGAACAUGAAAUUGAGUCAGAUUUAAAGGUAAAACCCCAUGAUUUUAUAGAAAGGUCAUCCUUUCUACAGGUCACUUUGGACCCUGUGCCCGGAUUCUAGUGAUAAGUCUUCAUUCUCCGUCUCAUGAGAGUCUUCAGUGCAAACGGACGGACAGGAUUUCCUGGUCUAGAUACUUCCCGGUGACCACCUUCAAGUUUCUCCCUUAUAGCCCUCCUCUAACAUUUACAUCUGACAGUAAGAAGCAGAGUUGGGGGCCCCACUAAAACCCCAAACAAGGGAACCUGAGUGCUCUGG
This 432-nucleotide long non-coding RNA is filed under the name Bos taurus (domestic cattle). RNAcentral describes it as "long non-coding RNA NONBTAT013664". Lineage: Eukaryota; Metazoa; Chordata; Mammalia; Artiodactyla; Bovidae. The record is from RNAcentral.